AUCCGAACUUCAUUCUUUCCAUUAUUUCGUCAUAAGUCCUACACAAAAAAUUCGCAGUGCAACUCAGUGGGGUUGCACAACAAUAUAUACACUGGCAGACAUUUAUAACAAAUUUGAUACUGAAACCAAAAAAUGAAUUACGAGAUCUUUAUGUAUUAGAAUUAAUCGACAUUGUGGCGAAGGGAGGUAAGAUUUUUAUUGAAUGUUUGACACUUUAUAUGAAAGGGAGCUGUGAUAAAAAAAACUUAAUAAUUUGGUACCAUUGUACAACAUUACACAAUCAACAAGAAAUUAUUAUAAUCAAAGGCUGUUAUUCCUUUUUUUUGUUUACAGGUGAUAAUAAUGUUCCUGCUCAGUUGUAUCUCCUGAACCAAUUUGUGCCCCCUACAGGAAAAUCUAGAGUGGGUAAAAGUACUUGGGAGUUCUCUACCUUGGAAAGCACGCAUGGAAUAUUUCUACAUGUGAAGCAUGCGGAAGAUGUCGACUCUGAAAUGAAGAAAAAGGCAGAUGCAGCAUAGCAAAAGGGGCGAACGGUACAGCCUUAUUUUAUUUUCAUUGGACCAACUGUGCAAUUUUGCACUAAUUUUAAUCUAGUAUUCAUUAUUAGAGUUUGUUAUUUUGAAUACAAAUAGAAAUGUCACAACGUACCAUUAAAAAUUUCAAUACAGUUCAUUUAAUUCAACAAAUUUGAUAUUAUUCUCCUUAAUUGGAGUGGUCCUUCGAGACACAACAAACAAUACAUAAUUUUGGCCAUAUUCGAGCCGGAUCUAGUGCGACACCAGCAAGAUCAUCAAUCAGUACCUAUCAUCAUUCGCAAGUGGAUACAGUUUGGAAUUCGUAAGAAAUAUUGCAGCAGUAACGCAUGGAAAAUCAAUUUGCAUGCCGUGGAUAGAAGGUGACAUUAACAAUCUAAGAAUCGACAGUGAGUUUCCAGUUGUGAUCUGCUUCAAUUGGAUUCCGGUAAACGAGACAUAUCUCGAUUUAUUAUUUAUUAUUUACGCAGAACAAUUUCAUUUGAAUAUAUUCAUGAUGGAGCCAGGAAAAGAAAUAACAUCAUUACGACAUUCACGGGCUAUUAUAAAGGCAUCAUUAACACGAUUUGUUACCUUUCUCAAUAAACCAGAGAACAGGAAAGAUAUCACGCAGUUACAGUUACGAUUGAAUAAAAUUCAAUCCGA
Molecule: long non-coding RNA, 1178 nt
Organism: Photinus pyralis (common eastern firefly)
Lineage: Eukaryota; Metazoa; Arthropoda; Insecta; Coleoptera; Lampyridae
Exons: 3
Source: RefSeq, a predicted model, not a curated record